GUCAUAUGCUUGUCUCAAAGAUUAAGCCAUGCAUGUCUCAGUACAAGCCAAAUUAAGGUGAAACCGCGAAAGGCUCAUUAAAUCAGUUAUGGUUCCUUAGAUCGUACCCACAAUUACUUGGAUAACUGUGGUAAUUCUAGAGCUAAUACACGCAAACAGAGCUCCGACCGGAGACGGAAGGAGUGCUUUUAUUAGAUCAAAACCAAUCGGUGGCGGGUUCGCUCGUCAUCGUACAACUUGGUGACUCUGAAUAACUUUACGCUGAUCGCACGGUCCUCGCACCGGCGACGCAUCUUUCAAAUGUCUGCCUUAUCAACUGUCGAUGGUAGGUUCUGCGCCUACCAUGGUUGUAACGGGUAACGGGGAAUCAGGGUUCGAUUCCGGAGAGGGAGCCUGAGAAACGGCUACCACAUCCAAGGAAGGCAGCAGGCGCGCAAAUUACCCACUCCCGGCACGGGGAGGUAGUGACRAAAAAUAACGAUACGGGACUCAUCCGAGGCCCCGUAAUCGGAAUGAGUACACUCUAAACCCUUUAACGAGGAUCAAUUGGAGGGCAAGUCUGGUGCC
This 567-nucleotide ribosomal RNA is filed under the name Trigonopterus lompobattangensis. RNAcentral's name for it is "SSU rRNA". The record is from RNAcentral. RNAcentral also lists the same sequence under 1 other name. Lineage: Eukaryota; Metazoa; Arthropoda; Insecta; Coleoptera; Curculionidae.